Molecule: unclassified non-coding RNA, 329 nt
Filed under: Conioexocarpus cretaceus
Lineage: Eukaryota; Fungi; Basidiomycota; Agaricomycetes; Agaricales; Agaricaceae
Description: Leucocoprinus cretaceus partial internal transcribed spacer region
Rfam family: Eukaryotic small subunit ribosomal RNA (bases 1-46)
Source: RNAcentral
AAGUCGUAACAAGGUUUCUGUAGGUGAACCUGUGGAAGGAUCAUUAUUGAAUAUUCUCGAUGGGUUGUAGCUGGCUCCUCGGAGCAUGUGCAUGCCUGUCUUGACUCUAUUCAUCCACCUGUGCACCUAUUGUAGUCUCAUUCGAAGGGUAGUCAGUCGGCAAGACCAGAUGUGAGGGAUGCAGUGCGAAAGUGCGGCACCUCUCUGGCUCUCGGUGGACUAUGUCUUUAUUCAUAAACCAUAUGUAGUAUGUUGCAGAAUGUAAUCAAUGGGCCUUUGUGCCUAUAAAAACCUUAUACAACUUUCAGCAAUGGAUCUCUUGGCUCUCA